GUGCCAGCCGCCGCGGUAAGACGUACCACCCAAACGUUAUUCGGAAUCACUGGGCUUAAAGAGUCCGUAGGCGGUCAGGAAAGUUGGGUGUGAAAUACCUCAGCUCAACUGAGGAAUUGCGCUCAAAACUACCUGGCUCGAGAAAGACAGAGGUGAGCGGAACUGAUGGUGGAGCGGUGAAAUGCAUUGAUAUCAUCAGGAACACCGGUGGCGAAAGCGGCUCACUGGGUCUUUUCUGACGCUGAGGGACGAAAGCUAGGGGAGCGAACGGGAUUAGAUACCCUAGUAGUCC
RNAcentral lists this ribosomal RNA (292 nucleotides) under uncultured bacterium. RNAcentral's name for it is "partial 16S ribosomal RNA". It matches the Rfam family "Bacterial small subunit ribosomal RNA", at positions 505 to 796 of the family's 1533-position model. The record is from RNAcentral.